Molecule: ribosomal RNA, 1293 nt
Filed under: Actinophytocola xinjiangensis
Lineage: Bacteria; Bacillati; Actinomycetota; Actinomycetes; Pseudonocardiales; Pseudonocardiaceae
Also listed under: 1 other name
Description: bacterial LSU rRNA
Rfam family: Bacterial large subunit ribosomal RNA
Source: RNAcentral
GCCCGUACCGCAAACCGACACAGGUAGGCGGGAUGAGAAUUCUAAGACGCGCGGGAGAACUCUCGUUAAGGAACUCGGCAAAAUGACUCCGUAACUUCGGGAGAAGGAGUGCUCCCCGGGGUGAAUAGCCCGGGGGAGCCGCAGUGACAAGGCCCAAACGACUGUUUACCAAAAACACAGGUCUCUGCGAAGCCGCAAGGCGAAGUAUAGGGGCUGACACCUGCCCGGUGCUGGAAGGUUAAGAGGAGGGGUUAUCCCUUACGGGAGAAGCUCCGAAUCGAAGCCCCAGUAAACGGCGGCCGUAACUAUAACGGUCCUAAGGUAGCGAAAUUCCUUGUCGGGUAAGUUCCGACCCGCACGAAAGGUGCAACGAUUUGGGCACUGUCUCAACGAGAGACCCGGUGAAAUUAUAUUACCUGUGAAGAUGCAGGUUACCCGCGACAGGACGGAAAGACCCCAUGGAGCUUUACUGCAGCUUGAUAUUGGAUGUUGGUACAGCUUGUACAGGAUAGGUAGGAGCCUUGGAAACCGGAGCGCCAGCUUCGGCGGAGGCAUUGGUGGGAUACUACCCUGGCUGUACAAACAUUCUAACCUCGAACCGUGAUCCGGUUCAGGGACAGUGUCAGGCGGGCAGUUUGACUGGGGCGGUCGCCUCCUAAAGUGUAACGGAGGCGCCCAAAGGUUCCCUCAGAAUGGUUGGAAAUCAUUCGCAGAGUGCAAAGGUAUAAGGGAGCUUGACUGCGAGACUGACAAGUCGAGCAGGGACGAAAGUCGGGCUUAGUGAUCCGGCGGCCCCGUAUGGAAGGGCCGUCGCUCAACGGAUAAAAGCUACCCUGGGGAUAACAGGCUAAUCUCUCCCAAGAGUCCACAUCGACGGGGAGGUUUGGCACCUCGAUGUCGGCUCGUCGCAUCCUGGGGCUGAAGUAGGUCCCAAGGGUUGGGCUGUUCGCCCAUUAAAGCGGCACGCGAGCUGGGUUCAGAACGUCGUGAGACAGUUCGGUCCCUAUCCGUCGCGGGCGCAGGAAAUUUGAGAGGAGCUGUCCUUAGUACGAGAGGACCGGGAUGGACACACCGCUGGUGUACCAGUUGUUCCGCCAGGAGCAUCGCUGGGUAGCUACGUGUGGACGGGAUAAGUGCUGAAAGCAUCUAAGCAUGAAGCCCCCCUCAAGAUGAGAUUUCCCAUCACAUUCGUGUGAGUAAGAUCCCUCAAAGACGAUGAGGUAGAUAGGUCUCGUGUGGAAGCGUGGCGACACGUGAAGCUGAGAGAUACUAAUCGAUCGAGGGCUUAACCAA